GUGCCAGCAGCCGCGGUAAGACAGAGGGUGCGAACGUUGCUCGGAAUCACUGGGCGUAAAGCGCGUGUAGGCGGGCGAUCAAGUCAGGUGUGAAAUCCCUGGGCUCAACCCAGGAACUGCAUCUGAAACUGGUUGCCUCGAGUGUCGGAGAGGGAAGCGGAAUUCCUGGUGUAGAGGUGAAAUUCGUAGAUAUCAGGAGGAACACCGGUGGCGAAGGCGGCUUCCUGGACGACUACUGACGCUGAGACGCGAAAGCGUGGGGAGCAAACAGGAUUAGAUACCCUGGUAGUCCACGCCGUAAACGAUGAGUGCUAGGUGUCUCGGGUAUUGACCCCUGAGGUGCCGUAGCUAACGCGUUAAGCACUCCGCCUGGGAUCUACGGCCGCAAGGCUAAAACUCAAAUGAAUUGACGG
RNAcentral lists this ribosomal RNA (413 nucleotides) under uncultured bacterium. Its description in RNAcentral is "bacterial SSU rRNA". It matches the Rfam family "Bacterial small subunit ribosomal RNA", at positions 505 to 916 of the family's 1533-position model. The record is from RNAcentral.